Molecule: long non-coding RNA, 557 nt
Organism: Rhodamnia argentea
Lineage: Eukaryota; Viridiplantae; Streptophyta; Magnoliopsida; Myrtales; Myrtaceae
Exons: 3
Source: RefSeq, a predicted model, not a curated record
AAGAUGGUACUCUCUUUUCACUCUUGAAUCCGGCAAAUUCCCAAGCUUGAAGUCUGAGGGGAUAAAUUGCAUUCACUCAAGUGUCCUCGGCUUUGUAAGGUAAUGGAAUCUGAUCAGGUCUGUGAAGUUCAUGGCGGGUCCUACGCACAUUAAUCAGCACGGAAUUAGGGGAGAGACGAAAGUUCCAAAUGCUCAUCAAGAGAUUUUGGAGAGUGUUUUGGGUGGAUUCAUCAAGCAAGAUAUUCAGGAAAAGCAAAGAACGUCUUAGGUAUUGCGACAGUGAAGCCCAUCAGGAGCUGCAGACACAUCGGAGGGGCUCUGUCUCUGUUUUUCUUCUGGUUGAUGUGCAUUUUCGAGAGAACUUGUCUGCCUGUAGGAAACGUCCGCGUAUUUGAGUUAAUUGAUGGGCAUGAUAUUGUGUUCGAAGUCUCCAUUUUGAGUGGUUCCAGUAAGGGCUUGAUUUACAUUGUUUGAAGUGAGUACUCGAAGUGUCACUUUAGGUUGGUUAUAGCGUGACUUGACUUCUGGGUUUACAAUUAUGCCUCCCUUAUUUGGUU